CUACGGGUGGCACCAGUGGGGAAUAUUGCGCAAUGGGGGCAACCCUGACGCAGCCAUGCCGCGUGAGUGAAGAAGGCCUUAGGGUUGUAAAGCUCUUUCACCCGUGACGAUGAUGACGGUAGCGGGAGAAGAAGCCCCGGCUAACUCCGUGCCAGGCAGCCGCGGUAAUACGGAGGGGGCUAGCGUUGUUCGGAAUUACUGGGCGUAAAGCGCACGUAGGCGGCUUGUUUAGUUAGGGGUGAAAGGCCUGGGCUUAACCUGGGAACUGCCCUUAAUACUGAUGAGCUUGAGACCGGGAGGGGGUGGUGGAACUCCCAGUGUAGAGGUGAAAUUCGUAGAUAUUGGGAAGAACACCGGUGGCGAAGGCGACCACCUGGCUCGGAUCUGACGCUGAGGUGCGAAAGCGUGGGGAGCAAACAGGAUUAGAUACCCUAGUAGUC
RNAcentral lists this ribosomal RNA (440 nucleotides) under uncultured bacterium. RNAcentral describes it as "partial 16S ribosomal RNA". It matches the Rfam family "Bacterial small subunit ribosomal RNA", at positions 339 to 795 of the family's 1533-position model. The record is from RNAcentral.